This 443-nucleotide ribosomal RNA is filed under the name uncultured bacterium. Its description in RNAcentral is "partial 16S ribosomal RNA". It matches the Rfam family "Bacterial small subunit ribosomal RNA", at positions 338 to 795 of the family's 1533-position model. The record is from RNAcentral.
CCUACGGGUGGCAGCAGUGGGGAAUAUUGGUCCAUGGAGGCAACUCUGACCCAGCAACGCCGCGUGAAUGAUGAAGGUCUUCGGAUUGUAAAGUUCUUUUUGACGGGAAGAAGAAAGUGACGGUACCUUAGGAAUAAGCCUCGGCUAACUACGUGCCAGCAGCCGCGGUAAUACGUCGGAGGCAGUCGUUAUCCGGAAUGACUGGUCGUAAAGGGUGCGUAGGUUGUUUGACAAGGUAGUAGCGCAACUCCGGAGCUCAACUCCGGAACUACUACUAAAACUGUUGGACUUGAGUGCAGGAGUGGCAAUCGGAAUUCGUAGUGUAGCGGUGGAAUGCGUAGAUAUUAGGAGGAACACCAGUGGCGAAGGCGGAUUGCUGGACUGUAACUGACGCUGAGGCACGAAAGCGUGGGGAGCAAACAGGAUUAGAUACCCUUGUAGUC